GUCGAGCGGAUGAAGGGAGCUUGCUCCUGGAUUCAGCGGCGGACGGGUGAGUAAUGCCUAGGAAUCUGCCUGGUAGUGGGGGAUAACGUCCGGAAACGGGCGCUAAUACCGCAUACGUCCUGAGGGAGAAAGUGGGGGAUCUUCGGACCUCACGCUGUCAGAUGAGCCUAGGUCGGAUUAGCUAGUUGGUGGGGUAAAGGCCUACCAAGGCGACCAUCCGUAUCUGGUCUGAGAGGAUGAUCAGUCACACUGGAACUGAGACACGGUCCAGACUCCUACGGGAGGCAGCAGUGGGGAAUAUUGGACAAUGGGCGAAAGCCUGAUCCAGCCAUGCCGCGUGUGUGAAGAAGGUCUUCGGAUUGUAAAGCACUUUAAGUUGGGAGGAAGGGCAGUAAGUUAAUACCUUGCUGUUUUGACGUUACCAACAGAAUAAGCACCGGCUAACUUCGUGCCAGCAGCCGCGGUAAUACGAAGGGUGCUAGCGUUAAUCGGAUUUACUGGGCGUAAAGCGCGCGUAGGUGGUUCAGCAAGUUGGAUGUGAAAUCCCCGGGCUCAACCUGGGAACUGCAUCCAAAACUACUGAGCUAGAGUACGGUAGAGGGUGGUGGAAUUUCCUGUGUAGC
RNAcentral lists this ribosomal RNA (623 nucleotides) under Pseudomonas sp. Horo_21. RNAcentral's name for it is "bacterial SSU rRNA". It matches the Rfam family "Bacterial small subunit ribosomal RNA", at positions 61 to 679 of the family's 1533-position model. Lineage: Bacteria; Pseudomonadati; Pseudomonadota; Gammaproteobacteria; Pseudomonadales; Pseudomonadaceae. The record is from RNAcentral.